UCUAACUUUCUGUACUGUGAGCAUAAUUAAAGCAAAUGGAGGAGGAUAAAAUAAUUAUUUAGCAACUGGAAUAUUAGGCCCUGAAUAAUAAAAGAAAUCAACAUAAACUUCAUUCUCACAGGUACAUGCACAUCAAAGUUCAAACCAGGGGGUGGUUAAGGAUCCAUAAGCUCAUUACACUCAUUGUGGAAUUCUGCAGGCUAAUUCUCAAAUAGCUGCCAUGGCAGAGACCAUAGCUUAUAAUGUCAUAGUCUCUGUUGCCAAGGUAACAACACAGCCAGGAACAGAGGCUGACAUUUGGAAACACACAUGUGAUUUCAUUAUUUACAAGUUAUAGAGAGGAGAGCAGAGCCACCGUGGUGGCUUAAAAACAUCUGUUCUAAUGCAGCCUGCUUACGUUUGAAAAAUAGUGCAUUAUCAAAGGUGAAGAAGCGUAAGGAAAGUCACCCCAUACUUGUUUGAGCUCGAGUUCUACCCCUCUGUGCCAUUAGAGAUGAUUUCGACUAAAAGUGAACUUGGUUUUCAAGGGUGUUUGGAAGUCACCAAAAUGCUAUGGAGAGCAGUGAGGAAGCACUCUGGAUUUAUAAUUCUACUUUUGCCACCAAGUUACUUUGAAGUGAGAAUAUUCUGAACAACACAGACUUUUAGAGAGAAACCAGAAAGUACAAGUAACCCAGAAGCACGGUGUGUAACAUCAGUCCUAUUUAUUCAUCCAUGCAUUCUUUCACUAAAUAAAUAUUAAUAGCACAUCUA
Long non-coding RNA from Acinonyx jubatus (cheetah), 753 nucleotides. RefSeq lists it as uncharacterized. The transcript has 2 exons. The record is from RefSeq and is a predicted model, not a curated record. Lineage: Eukaryota; Metazoa; Chordata; Mammalia; Carnivora; Felidae.